UACGUAGGGGGCAAGCGUUGUCCGGAAUCAUUGGGCGUAAAGCGCGUGUAGGCGGCUUGGCAAGUCGGAUGUGAAAGCCCACGGCUCAACCGUGGAAGCGCAUCCGAAACUGCUUCGCUCGAGUCUCGGAGAGGAAGGUGGAAUGCUUGGUGUAGAGGUGAAAUUCGUAGAUAUCAAGCAGAACACCUGCGGCGAAGGCGGCCUUCUGGACGAUGACUGACGCUGAGACGCGAAAGCGUGGGGAGCAAACAGG
Molecule: ribosomal RNA, 253 nt
Filed under: uncultured bacterium
Lineage: Bacteria
Description: partial 16S ribosomal RNA
Rfam family: Bacterial small subunit ribosomal RNA
Source: RNAcentral